Molecule: ribosomal RNA, 450 nt
Filed under: uncultured Glomeromycotina
Lineage: Eukaryota; Fungi; Glomeromycota
Description: SSU rRNA
Rfam family: Eukaryotic small subunit ribosomal RNA
Source: RNAcentral
AGCAGCCGCGGUAAUUCCAGCUCCAAUAGCGUAUAUUAAAGUUGUUGCAGUUAAAAAGCUCGUAGUUGAAUUUCGGGGUCAGUAGGUCGGUCGUGCCACUGGUAUGAACUGGUCUCACUGAUUCCUCCUUCUUGAAGAACCGUAAUGUCAUUAACUUGGUGUUGCGGGGAAACAGGACUGUUACCUUGAAAAAAUUAGAGUGUUUAAAGCAGGCUAGCGCCUGAAUACAUUAGCAUGGAAUAAUGAAAUAGGACGUUCGAUCCUAUUUUGUUGGUUUCUAGGAUUGACGUAAUGAUUAAUAGGGAUAGUUGGGGGCAUUAGUAUUCAAUUGUCAGAGGUGAAAUUCUUGGAUUUAUUGAAGACUAACUACUGCGAAAGCAUUUGCCAAGGAUGUUUUCAUUAAUCAAGAACGAAAGUUAGGGGAUCGAAGACGAUCAGAUACCGUCGUAG